RNAcentral lists this ribosomal RNA (891 nucleotides) under uncultured bacterium. RNAcentral describes it as "partial 16S ribosomal RNA". The record is from RNAcentral.
CCUUGCGGCCGUACUCCCCAGGCGGUCGACUUAUCGCGUUAGCUGCGCCACUAAGAUCUCAAGGAUCCCAACGGCUAGUCGACAUCGUUUACGGCGUGGACUACCAGGGUAUCUAAUCCUGUUUGCUCCCCACGCUUUCGCACCUCAGUGUCAGUAUCAGUCCAGGUGGUCGCCUUCGCCACUGGUGUUCCUUCCUAUAUCUACGCAUUUCACCGCUACACAGGAAAUUCCACCACCCUCUACCGUACUCUAGCUCAGUAGUUUUGGAUGCAGUUCCCAGGUUGAGCCCGGGGAUUUCACAUCCAACUUGCUGAACCACCUACGCGCGCUUUACGCCCAGUAAUUCCGAUUAACGCUUGCACCCUUCGUAUUACCGCGGCUGCUGGCACGAAGUUAGCCGGUGCUUAUUCUGUUGGUAACGUCAAAACAGCAAGGUAUUAACUUACUGCCCUUCCUCCCAACUUAAAGUGCUUUACAAUCCGAAGACCUUCUUCACACACGCGGCAUGGCUGGAUCAGGCUUUCGCCCAUUGUCCAAUAUUCCCCACUGCUGCCUCCCGUAGGAGUCUGGACCGUGUCUCAGUUCCAGUGUGACUGAUCAUCCUCUCAGACCAGUUACGGAUCGUCGCCUUGGUAGGCCUUUACCCAACCAACUAGCUAAUCCGACCUAGGCUCAUCUGAUAGCGUGAGGUCCGAAGAUCCCCCACUUUCUCCCUCAGGACGUAUGCGGUAUUAGCGCCCGUUUCCGGACGUUAUCCCCCACUACCAGGCAGAUUCCUAGGCAUUACUCACCCGUCCGCCGCUGAAUCCAGGAGCAAGCUCCCUUCAUCCGCUCGACUUGCAUGUGUUAGGCCUGCCGCCAGCGUUCAAUCUGAGCCAGGAUCAAACUCUC